CAAAAGCUAUACGACGUCAAACAAAUACGAAAGGUUGUGCUAACAUAUGUUACAUGUUUGUUUAGUGCUUGCAGCGAGGGAGUUGGUUCUACCGGAUAGUAGUUGUUUGAAGUAUAAAAACUCAAAAUUUGGGGAGUCUUCAAGUUCAGGGCAUAAUUGGGUAGAAGCAGUUGCAGCCAAACGAGAAGGGAUCUUGGCAGGAAGAUGGAGAAACCGAUGAAGAAGGGGAACAAGAAGUCGAUGAAGGGCAGGUGGUGGGUACAUUUGACGUUGUACAG
This is a long non-coding RNA of Helianthus annuus (common sunflower), 278 nucleotides long. RefSeq lists it as uncharacterized. The transcript is spliced from 3 exons. The record is from RefSeq and is a predicted model, not a curated record. NCBI's taxonomy places the organism in Eukaryota, Viridiplantae, Streptophyta, Magnoliopsida, Asterales, Asteraceae.